This 68-nucleotide transfer RNA is filed under the name Cellana radiata. RNAcentral describes it as "tRNA-Ile". The record is from RNAcentral. Lineage: Eukaryota; Metazoa; Mollusca; Gastropoda; Nacellidae.
GGUGCUGUGCCGGAUAAAACGGGUUACUUUGAUGUGGUAAAUUAUGAAAAUAAAUAUUUCCAGUGCUU